Molecule: ribosomal RNA, 463 nt
Filed under: uncultured bacterium
Lineage: Bacteria
Description: bacterial SSU rRNA
Rfam family: Bacterial small subunit ribosomal RNA
Source: RNAcentral
UACCGGGGAGGCAGCAGUGGGGAAUAUUGCGCAAUGGGGGAAACCCUGAUGCAGCCAUGCCGCGUGUGUGAAGAAGGCCUUCGGGUUGUAAAGCACUUUCAGUAGGGAGGAAGGUAGUGUAGUUAACACCUGCAUAUUUGACGUUACCUACAGAAGAAGCACCGGCUAACUCCGUGCCAGCAGCCGCGGUAAUACGGAGGGUGCGAGCGUUAAUCGGAAUUACUGGGCGUAAAGCGCAUGCAGGCGGCCUGUUAAGUCAGAUGUGAAAGCCCGGGGCUUAACCUCGGAAUUGCAUUUGAAACUGGCAGGCUAGAGUCUUGUAGAGGGGGGUAGGAAUUUCAGGUGUAGCGGUGAAAUGCGUAGAGAUCUGAAGGAAUACCAGUGGCGAAGGCGGCCCCCUGGACAAAGACUGACGCUCAGAUGCGAAAGCGUGGGGAGCAAACAGGAUUAGAUACCCUGGUAG